This 253-nucleotide ribosomal RNA is filed under the name uncultured bacterium. RNAcentral describes it as "partial 16S ribosomal RNA". It matches the Rfam family "Archaeal small subunit ribosomal RNA", at positions 474 to 727 of the family's 1478-position model. The record is from RNAcentral.
UACCAGCACCCCGAGUGGUCGGGACGAUUAUUGGGCCUAAAGCAUCCGUAGCCGGUUCUGCAAGUCCCCCGUUAAAUCCAGCUGCUCAACAGAUGGGCCGCGGAGGAUACUACAGAGCUAGGAGGCAGGAGAGGCAAGCGGUACUCAGUGGGUAGGGGUAAAAUCCGUUGAUCCAUUGAAGACCACCAGUGGCGAAGGCGGCUUGCCAGAACGCGCUCGACGGUGAGGGAUGAAAGCUGGGGGAGCAAACCGG